GAUAAGUUCCUCUGUGCCAGCGGACCUCCACACAGGGGGUCAGGGAAUCCGGUGUGAAUCCGGAACUGACGCGCAGCGGUGAGGGUGACCGCCCGGGCUUACGCCACUGGAUGAAAAUCUGGGAAGGCGCUCGGGUGGGGCGAUCUCGAGUCCGAAUACCGGCUGGCAGCAGGGGUCAACA
This 181-nucleotide non-coding RNA is filed under the name Rhodococcus erythropolis. Lineage: Bacteria; Bacillati; Actinomycetota; Actinomycetes; Mycobacteriales; Nocardiaceae. The record is from RNAcentral.